AGUGUGUGGCUGUUUUGUGUUGUGUAGGGCAACCGGUAUGUAACUAUUAAAUUCCAUGAAUAAACAAAAAUGGGCAUUUUUUGUCAACCGUCUAGAAAAUAAUGGACACAAUCGAUCUGCAAAGAAGAUAUUUUUUGUGCUCUCUUUUUGUUUUUUUCCUUGUUUUUUUUUUUCCGUCUAGUGAUAUUAUUUUUUUCCUUGAUAUUUUAAGUGCUUCUGUGGUUUUUUUCAACAAUCUUCAUGAUUUUAUUUUUAUUGAUAUUUGAAUAUCCUCUAUAUGUGUUUUUUUCCUCGACACAACUAUUCCUAUAAGGCUUAACAUUUCAACGAUUAUGGUUUCAAGUAUCCAACAACUUGAUAUAAUGAUAACUCUCGUUGGAGUGUUA
Molecule: long non-coding RNA, 386 nt
Filed under: Brassica napus (rape)
Lineage: Eukaryota; Viridiplantae; Streptophyta; Magnoliopsida; Brassicales; Brassicaceae
Description: long non-coding RNA (BNAP_LNC020851)
Source: RNAcentral